UGUGUCCGUUUCGCAUUCAAGGCAUUCUUUUUCAAUUUGUUUAAAUUAAUGUGACACUUUACAAUGCAUCGUUAAUGUUUUCCAUUCGCCUGCUGUAAACUUAUUUAUUUCAUCGUUCGUCGAGCAGUGUGCAACGUGCAGCGUGAAACGUGCAAGGGGCAGGCGUCCAUCGACAGGCGAGACGGAUACUUCGACAGACGACAAGCGAAGUCCAAGUGACAAUGUGACAGAUGGAGCUCCCCAAAAAGGGCGAUGGCAUCGAUGCAAUUUAAAUGAAAAUCAGCAGGAGGACAACACAGAAGAGAUCUUGCAGCAACAAUCGUGGAAAACAACCCAUUUUUCUCCUUCUUUGUCCCCUUUAGCGUUCGCCUUUGGUGCGGAGUUCGCUUCCGUUUUCGAUGUCCUGUCGUAGAAAUCACACGCAGCCUCGACACGUGACAGCUAAGGGAUGGGGGACUGAGACAGCGGCACGAGCACGGUAGCGGGCAGCCAUUUUGCGUUUUGUCGCCGCCAUCAUUAUUAAUAUUGCCGGCACAGGACCAAAGGCAGAACCAGAACCAGAACCAGGACCACGACCAGGAGAUGCGAUACUAACUUCCGUUGCGUGACAUUCGUGCUGUGAUUUUUUCGCGAAUCUCUGCCAUUCCCGGCUUUCCUUUUCGAUGGCUCUGACAAUUUUGAUUGUUGUACCGACUGAAUGGGAGAUGUCCUGGUCUGUUGCUGCUCUGGGUCCAGGACAGCAGUCGAAACAGGUGUGGCCGUCAACUGGCAAUCAACUUUCAUUUAGCAGCAUCAUUUGUCACGCUUGUUUAUUGCCCGGUUACGUGUUGGCCACACUUAAUGGCUGUUAUUGUCCUUCCUGACAGAGGGGACAUCAGACCAGGCAAGGCAGGACCAGACAAGACAAGAAGGCACCAGACAAGACAAGACAAGACGAGACGAGACAAGGCAGAACGUAUUGUAGAGGUCCGGGCUAAGGCUUU
RNAcentral lists this long non-coding RNA (983 nucleotides) under Drosophila guanche. Lineage: Eukaryota; Metazoa; Arthropoda; Insecta; Diptera; Drosophilidae. The record is from RNAcentral.